AGUGUCUAAUUACGCUGCUAGGUGGAUGACUCGGUUCUCAUGCCGAAGACGGGUGUGACAAGCUGCAGAAAGCCAUGGCGAGGCGCAUGUAGCCAUCGAACCAUGGAUCCCUUAAUGGGACUACCCAACAGAUCCGUGAGGAUAGGGAACGCAGGGAAUUGAAACGUCUGAGUACCUGCAGGAAAAGAGACCAAUCGGUAUGCGGUUAGUAACAGCGAGUGAAAACCGUACAGGGCAAACUGAAUCCUGCGCAGAAAUGUGAAGGAGAUGUGGUGUUGUAGACUGCCUUUUAGACCUGAACCUUUCGAUUCGAAGUUCGCUGGAACGCGGCACGAAACAGGGUGAUAGUCCCGUAGAAGAAGAGAGGAAGGCGUGGCAGUAUCUCGAGUACUGCUUAUCGGAUAUUAAGCAGGAAGACGGGGGGCAUCAACCCCCAACCCUAAACACUAUGAGAGUCCGAUAGCGUACGAGUACCGCGAGGGAAAGUUGAAAAGAACCCCUAACUGGGAGUUCAAAGAACCUGAAACCUAGCAGCUUUCGUAGGGUAGGGCUCUUCGGAGUUCUGCCGUGCGUUUAGAAAAACGUGCCAGGGAGUUUGCCUUAGUGGCGAGGGUAAUCCUAAAAAGGAGCACCCAUAGGGAAACCGAUAUUCCGCAAGCAAUGAGGGAUAUGGUAUGAAAGUGCCAGGAGUCACUAGGGCAAGACCCGAAGCCGAACGAUCUAACCCUGAGUAAGGUGAAGUGCGGGUAAAACCGUGCGGAGGCCUGUAGAGAACUUACGUGCAAGUAGUCUUCUAACUUGGGGCUAGGGGUGAAAAGCCAAUCGAGUUCGGCGAUAGCUGGUUCCCACCAAAGUUGGCCGCAGUCAAGCCUCGGAGGAGAUGGCGACGGUGGUAGAGAGACGGAUUAGGGAAAUAGGCCGGGAAACUGGUCAGUCCCUUGUCCAACUCCUAAUGUCGUCGCAUCGAAGAGUCCGGGAGACGGGGCACUGGGGUAAACCCGGUGUCCGAGAGGGGAACAACCCAGACCAUGGUUAAGGUCCCUAAAUGCUGGCUCAGUGCGAUCGGGUGAAAGGUGUCCAUAGCCAAAGACAGCGAGGAGGUUGGCUUAGAAGCAGCCACCCUUCAAAAAGUGCGUAACAGCUUACUCGUCAAGGUUAUGGGCCCUGAAAAUGGACGGGGCUAAGUCAGUUACCGAUACCAUGGGCCAUUCGAAAGAUGUGCGAUAGGUGGGUGUCCUGCCAGGACAGAAGCGUCUCCACAAGGAGGCGUGGACCUGGUAGGAAUAAAAAUCCUGGCGGUAGUAGGAUCAUAGCGGUGUGAGAAUCACCGCCGCCGAAAGGGCAAGGGUUUCUUGACAAUGCAGUUCAGUCAAGAGGUAGUUGGGCCUAACUGUCCUCCUAACUGGAUGGACGGGAAAGGGAGACCGGUCAAUAUUCCGGUACUACCGGUGUAUGCGUGGCAACACAAGUCCUGUUUCUGACAUUUCGGGGUAAGCUGACACAGCAUGUCUGCUGUGCUAACCAAGAUACAUCGAGGGAGUAUCGUCACGAUGAGAACUCGAUGAAACUUGGGAAUGGUGCUCCUCUGGAGCAUUCAGCCCAUCCCUGGAAUCCGUGAAAAAGGAACAGGAAAAGAUCAUCGGUAUCCAUACCCAGAACCAGCACAGGUGCCCCUAGGUGAGAAGCCUAAGGUGUGAGGGUUAAAUCCGUUUGAGGGAACUCGGCAAACCAGUCCCGUGCCUUCGGUAGAAGGGAUCCCUGCUCUUGUGGGUGUAUGCCUGCGAGAGCAGGGCGCAGUGACUAGGAUGGUCCGACUGUUUAACAAAAACAUAACUAUCUGCUAGCCCGUAAGGGUGUGUACAGAUGGUGACGUCUGCCCAGUGCCAGUACUUCAAACUCUGUUCCAACGGAGCUAAGAGCUGGUAAACGGCGGGAGUAACUAUAACUCUCUUAAGGUAGCGAAAUGCCUUGUCGUUUGAAUGACGACCCGCAUGAAUGACGUAACGAGAUCGUCGCUGUCCCCAGACGGAGUCCCCUGAACACUCUUCCUGGUGCAAAGGCCAGGGUUUUCCAGUGGGAAGUGAAGACCCCGUGAAACUUUACUGUAGUCUGUAGUUGUGAUGCACGUUUGGAUAUGUAGCGUAGGUGGUAGCCGCUCGAAGUCGCGAUCGUCAGGUCGCGUCUAGGCAACAAUGAAACACCACUUUUCUGGAUUUGCAUUGCUUACUCCCGAAAGGGCGGACAGCUAUUGAUGGACAGUUUGGCUGGGGUGGCACACCGAUGAAACAAUAUCAUCGGUGACCAAUGGUUGGCUCAGCCGGGUCAGAAAUCCGGCGUAGAGUUCAAGAGCAAAAGCCAGCCUGAUUGGAUUCUCAACAGCACAGGAUCCAAACGCGAAAGCGUGGUCUAGCGAACCAGAAUACCUCCUUGAUGGGGGUUUCUGAUGACCGAAAAGUUACUCCGGGGAUAACAGAGUUGUCGCGCCCGAGAGCUCCUAUCGACGGCGCGGCUUGCUACAUCGAUGUCGGCUCUUCCUAUCCUGGGCGUGCAGAAGCGUCCAAGGGUGAGGGUGUUCACCUAUUAAAAGGGAUCGUGAGCUGGGUUCAGAACGCUGUGAGGCAGUUUGUUUAAUAUCUACUGGAAAUGCUUGAUGUCUGAGAGGAAGGACCUUUUAGUACGAGAGGAACGGAGGUUCGUCGCCACUGGUCUACCGGUUAUCCGACAGGGUACGCCGGGCAGCUACGCGAUAGGGGAUAAACGCUGAAAGCAUCUAAGCGUGAAGUCCUCCUCGAAAAGAGACAUCACGGACGCGAGCAGAAGACUCGGUCGAUAGAGCAGGGGUGUACGCGCAAAGGCAACGAUGCGCUCAGCCUGCUGCUACUAAGAGUCCGGACUUAGC
This 2899-nucleotide ribosomal RNA is filed under the name groundwater metagenome. Its description in RNAcentral is "bacterial LSU rRNA". It matches the Rfam family "Archaeal large subunit ribosomal RNA". The record is from RNAcentral.